AUUGAACGCUGGCGGCAGGCCUAACACAUGCAAGUCGAGCGGAUGAAGGGAGCUUGCUCCUGGAUUCAGCGGCGGACGGGUGAGUAAUGCCUAGGAAUCUGCCUGGUAGUGGGGGAUAACGUCCGGAAACGGGCGCUAAUACCGCAUACGUCCUGAGGGAGAAAGUGGGGGAUCUUCGGACCUCACGCUAUCAGAUGAGCCUAGGUCGGAUUAGCUAGUUGGUGGGGUAAAGGCCUACCAAGGCGACGGUCCGUAACUGGUCUGAGAGGAUGAUCAGUCACACUGGAACUGAGACACGGUCCAGACUCCUACGGGAGGCAGCAGUGGGGAAUAUUGGACAAAGGGCGAAAGCCUGAUCCAGCCAUGCCGCGUGUGUGAAGAAGGUCUUCGGAUUGUAAAGCACUUUAAGUUGGGAGGAAGGGCAGUAAGUUAAUACCUUGCUGUUUUGACGUUACCAACAGAAUAAGCACCGGCUAACUUCGUG
Molecule: ribosomal RNA, 484 nt
Filed under: uncultured bacterium
Lineage: Bacteria
Description: partial 16S ribosomal RNA
Rfam family: Bacterial small subunit ribosomal RNA
Source: RNAcentral